RNAcentral lists this ribosomal RNA (496 nucleotides) under uncultured bacterium. RNAcentral's name for it is "partial 16S ribosomal RNA". It matches the Rfam family "Bacterial small subunit ribosomal RNA", at positions 28 to 506 of the family's 1533-position model. The record is from RNAcentral.
GAUGAACGCUGGCGGCGUGCCUAAUACAUGCAAGUCGAGCGAACAGACGAGGAGCUUGCUCCUCUGACGUUAGCGGCGGACGGGUGAGUAACGCGUGGAUAACCUACCUAUAAGACUGGGAUAACUUCGGGAAACCGGAGCUAAUACCGGAUAAUAUAUUGAACCGCAUGGUGCAAUAGUGAAAGACGGUUUUGCUGUCACUUAUAGAGGGAUCCGCGCCGCAUUAGCUAGUUGGUAAGGUAACGGCUUACUAAGGCAACGAUGCGUAGCCGACCUGAGAGGGUGAUCGGCCACACAGGAGCUGAGACGCGGCCCUGACUCCGACGGGAGGCAGCGGUAGGGAAUCGUCCGCAAUGGGCGAAAGCCUGACGGAGCAACGCCGCGUGGGUGAUGAAGGUCUGCGGGUCGUAAAACUCUGUUAUUAGGGAAGAACAAAUGUGUAAGUAACUAUGCACGUCUUGACGGUACCUAAUCAGAAAGCCACGGCUAACUACGU